UUUUAAUUAGUAUAAUUAAUACAGUUUCCUUCCAAGAAAAUACUCUCUUUAGAGAUUACUUA
RNAcentral lists this transfer RNA (62 nucleotides) under Oreohelix idahoensis. RNAcentral describes it as "tRNA-Gly". The record is from RNAcentral. Lineage: Eukaryota; Metazoa; Mollusca; Gastropoda; Stylommatophora; Oreohelicidae.